This 65-nucleotide transfer RNA is filed under the name Cryptocotyle lingua. Its description in RNAcentral is "tRNA-Glu". Lineage: Eukaryota; Metazoa; Platyhelminthes; Trematoda; Opisthorchiida; Heterophyidae. The record is from RNAcentral.
GUUGAUUUGGUGUUUCAGCAUUCUAAUUUUUCGUGUUAGAGGUAGUUUAUUUUUUAGUCUAAUCA